GAGCCUAAAAACUCCUCCGAACAUAACAAGCCUGGUCCUGACUUUAAAAUCAAUUGUUUCUAAACCUACACAUGCAAGUCUCCUCGACCCUGUGAGUACGCCCCCCACCCCCUACACGGGGUAAAAAGGUUAGUAUAAGGCACAUCAACCAGCCCAAAACACCUAGCAAUAGCCACACCCAUAAGGGAAACAGCAGUGAUCAAUAUUAGUUAUAAGUGUCAACUUGAACUAGUUAAAGAAAUAUAGGGCCGGCAAAGUUAGUGCCAGCCGCCGCGGUUACACUAUAGGCCUAAGUUGAUUUUCUAUCGGCGUAAAGCGUGGUUAAAGCGUCAAUAAAUUAGAGUUAAAUUCUGAACUACACAGUGGAAUGCCUGUUUUCGAGAAACCCAUAAACGAAAGUUACUCUACCAUCCUUGAACCCACGAUAGCCAAGAUACAAACUAGGAUUAGAUACCCUACUAUGCCUGGCCCUAAACCUUAAAUUACCCCCUAAACCGCCAAGGAACUACGAGCAAAGCUUAAAACCUAAAGGACUUGACGGUGCCCCACAUUCACCUAGAGGAGCCUGUCCUAUAACCGAUACUCCCCGUUCAACCCCACCACUCCUAGCCUCUCAGCCUGUAUACCUCCGUCCCAGCCUACCAUGUGAAUGAACUAGUAGGCCAACAUCGCCCCCCCGCUAAUACAUCAGGUCGAGGUGCAGCUAAUGGAGUGGAAGAGAUGGGCUACACUCUCUAUUAUAGAAGACACGAAAAGUCAUAUGCAAUUUUAUCUAGAAGGUGGAUUUAGUAGUAAAAAGAAAAUAGAGUGUUCUUUUAAACCUGACACUGGGGUGUGUACACACCGCCCGUCACCCUCUUCAAAUACUGAACAACAGUACUUAACAAAACUUAUUCCUAAAGAAGAGGUAAGUCGUAACAUGGUAAGCACACCGGAAGGUGCGCUUGGUAA
This 951-nucleotide non-coding RNA is filed under the name Ischnocnema guentheri (Steindachner's robber frog). Its description in RNAcentral is "partial 12S ribosomal RNA". It matches the Rfam family "Bacterial small subunit ribosomal RNA". Lineage: Eukaryota; Metazoa; Chordata; Amphibia; Anura; Brachycephalidae. The record is from RNAcentral.